AAAAAAGGAAAGGCUGUCUGCAAACAGGUACAUCCCAGCCUUCUUGCACAUAGAAACACUACACAGCACUUCAGCUGUAUGUUUGGGGGCCAUUUUAAACAGCAAAAUCAUCAACAGGAAGCAGAAAAUUGUAAAAAUUGUGGCACUAAAUAGACCAUGUAAAGGACACAUGUUUGCAAUAAGAAAGCUGAAACAAGAAGGGGGAGUGUCACCUUAUUUGAUCCAGCUAGAAACUCAGGUGCUGGUAUUCCAGCAACACUCAGGCGGCUGCUCCAGGAGGCUGCAGAGGGGUCCUUUUUAGCCGUCAACAAAACUGGCUAUGGUCACGCCCAUUGGGAAACUCAUUGCUGCCUUCAAGGACUCAGAAGCUGUAGGAAUAUUCAGGCACAGACACCAGACCCAGCUUCAUCUCUAACUUGUGGCAAAGGACAGUACAUCCUGGGAUGGGACCCUAUGCUCCCCUAUGCCAUUUAGACAGAGCCUGGGGAGAGUGACUUCCCAGGGUAUCCAUGUUGGAAUCUCUCAUUUGAUUCUUAUUCAAAUUUAGGUUCUGUCAAUAGAAGAUACUAAAGAAAGAAAGCCAGGAGAAGAAAAGGGACUUCUUUCUUCAAGGUCUAAGCUGUUCUAAUAGCAUUAUUCUGGGAAUGGCAUCUUCCACUCCUCCUAGUACAAAGAACCUGCUUCCUCAUACCCCGUCAAGGAACUGCAGCAUCCAGAAUACAUUCAUACCUAACACCUCAAUAGAUGACAUGUUAUCCAUGGAAUCGAGUUCAAAGCCCUCUGUAACGUGGCUAUAUCCCAUCUACUCUGAGCUGAUGUUCAGCAGGUGAUGGCCACAGUGGCAGAACCUAGGAAGCCAAGAAGAAACCAGAGAAUGGAGACACAUGGCAGCAAUGGCAAGUCAUCAGACCCAGGAUUUCCCAAAGAACACUGGUCCAGGAAGAUGCUCUGUGAAAAAGUGUUCCCUGGUCGGAGAAAUUUGUGAAACACUUUGCAUAAUACUUAAAAGAAUGUAUGGCACAUCAAAGGUAAUAUGCAAUAAAAGAAUUCAUUUUUUUAAAACCAA
Long non-coding RNA from Homo sapiens (human), 1066 nucleotides. Ensembl annotates it as long intergenic non-protein coding RNA 1905. The record is from Ensembl. Lineage: Eukaryota; Metazoa; Chordata; Mammalia; Primates; Hominidae.